Molecule: transfer RNA, 75 nt
Filed under: Patescibacteria group bacterium
Lineage: Bacteria
Description: tRNA-Arg
Rfam family: tRNA
About the family: Transfer RNA (tRNA) molecules are approximately 80 nucleotides in length.
Source: RNAcentral
GCGCCCUUAGUUUAACGGAUAGAACAGCGGCCUUCGAAGCCGCUUAUGGGGGUUCGAUUCCUCCAGGGCGCACCA